This 461-nucleotide ribosomal RNA is filed under the name Neisseria flava. Its description in RNAcentral is "bacterial SSU rRNA". It matches the Rfam family "Bacterial small subunit ribosomal RNA", at positions 30 to 478 of the family's 1533-position model. The record is from RNAcentral. Lineage: Bacteria; Pseudomonadati; Pseudomonadota; Betaproteobacteria; Neisseriales; Neisseriaceae.
AUUGAACGCUGGCGGCAUGCUUUACACAUGCAAGUCGGACGGCAGCACAGAGAAGCUUGCUUCUUGGGUGGCGAGUGGCGAACGGGUGAGUAACAUAUCGGAACGUACCGAGCAGUGGGGGAUAACUAAUCGAAAGAUUAGCUAAUACCGCAUAUUUUCUGAGGAAGAAAGCAGGGGACCAUUUGGCCUUGCGCUGUUUGAGCGGCCGAUAUCUGAUUAGCUAGUUGGUGGGGUAAAGGCCUACCAAGGCGACGAUCAGUAGCGGGUCUGAGAGGAUGAUCCGCCACACUGGGACUGAGACACGGCCCAGACUCCUACGGGAGGCAGCAGUGGGGAAUUUUGGACAAUGGGCGCAAGCCUGAUCCAGCCAUGCCGCGUGUCUGAAGAAGGCCUUCGGGUUGUAAAGGACUUUUGUCAGGGAAGAAAAGGGCGGGGUUAAUACCCCUGUCUGAUGACGGUAC